RNAcentral lists this ribosomal RNA (253 nucleotides) under uncultured bacterium. RNAcentral's name for it is "partial 16S ribosomal RNA". It matches the Rfam family "Bacterial small subunit ribosomal RNA", at positions 524 to 776 of the family's 1533-position model. The record is from RNAcentral.
UACGUAGGGGCCUAGCGUUGUCCGGAAUUACUGGGCGUAAAGGGCGCGUAGGCGGCUCUGCACGUUCGUUGUGAAAUCGCCCGGCUCAACUGGGCGGGGUCAGCGGAUACGGCAGAGCUUGAGCAAGCUAGGGGGCAAUGGAAUUCCCGGUGUAGUGGUGGAAUGCGUAGAUAUCGGGAGGAACACCAGUGGCGAAGGCGGUUGCCUGGGGCUUUGCUGACGCUGAUGCGCGAAAGCGUGGGGAGCGAUCCGG